RNAcentral lists this ribosomal RNA (451 nucleotides) under uncultured bacterium. RNAcentral describes it as "partial 16S ribosomal RNA". It matches the Rfam family "Bacterial small subunit ribosomal RNA", at positions 28 to 507 of the family's 1533-position model. The record is from RNAcentral.
GAUGAAUGCUGGCGGCGUGCCUAACACAUGCAAGUCGAGCGGCAGCGAGGGGUGCUUGCACCCUGUCGGCGAGCGGCGAACGGCUGAGUAACGCGUAGGAAUUUGCCCCAAAGUGAGGAAUAACUGCCCGAAAGGGUAGCUAAUGCCGCAUAUGGUCUUCGGAUUAAAGGAUUUAUCCGCUUUGGGAGAAGCCUGCGUUGGAUUAGGUUGUUGGUAGGGUAAUGGCCUACCAAGCCGACGAUCCAUAGCUGGUCUGAGAGGAUGAUCAGCCAGACUGGAACUGAGACACGGUCCAGACUCCUACGGGAGGCAGCAGUGAGGAAUCUUCCACAAUGGGCGAAAGCCUGAUGGAGCAACGCCGCGUGAAGGAUGAAGGCCUUCGGGUUGUAAACUUCUUUUAUGAGUGAAGAAUAUGACGGUAACUCGUGAAUAAGCACCGACUAACUACGUG